UAAACUUGUUCGAGCCCCCGUACAUACAUUUUUUUUUAAUAACUACUGUGUAUCCGGAUCAAUUUGUGCGCACCUCGAUUAAUGUAUCAAGUAUCUGUUACCUCCCACAUACUACCGACUAGUUCUGCCCCUAUAAAUUCAUACCUCUCACUUCUCUUUUACACACACAAUAUUAGCAACAAUGGCAAAGGCCCUUGUUCUUUUUCAGCUUUCAGUUUUAUUACUUAGCUCAUUCACAGUAGUUCUUAGCCAGGAGGAAGACAUUGGGGGUUGGUUUACCACCAAACAUCAUGACCACCUUUCACCAGCUCAAGCUCCUAAGCCUCACAAAGGCCACCACCACCCCAAACAUUCCCCAGCCCCUUCACCAACUAAGCCUCCCACUUAUAGCCCAUCGAAACCACCAGUUAAACCACCGGUUAAACCACCAACUAAGGCUCCCACUUAUAGCCCAUCAAAACCACCAGCUAAGCCACCAGUUAAACCACCAACACCAACACCAUCACCUUAUCCUGCUCCUGCUCCUAUUACUAGGAAACCUGUAGCAGUCCGUGGCCUUGUUUACUGCAAGCCGUGCAAGUUUAGAGGGGUUAAAACUCUAAACCAAGCUUCCCCACUCCUGG
Molecule: long non-coding RNA, 623 nt
Filed under: Nicotiana tabacum (common tobacco)
Lineage: Eukaryota; Viridiplantae; Streptophyta; Magnoliopsida; Solanales; Solanaceae
Description: long non-coding RNA (NTAB_LNC008700)
Source: RNAcentral